RNAcentral lists this transfer RNA (69 nucleotides) under Eumenotes sp. HEM140. RNAcentral describes it as "tRNA-Val". The record is from RNAcentral. Lineage: Eukaryota; Metazoa; Arthropoda; Insecta; Hemiptera; Dinidoridae.
CAGAUUAUUGCUUAAGAGCUAAUUAUUAUUUACAUUAAUGAUUCAAUUGUGCAAUUCAAUUUAGUCUGA